Molecule: non-coding RNA, 451 nt
Organism: Camellia sinensis
Lineage: Eukaryota; Viridiplantae; Streptophyta; Magnoliopsida; Ericales; Theaceae
Source: RefSeq, a predicted model, not a curated record
CUCUCUCUCUCUCUCUCUCUCUCUCUCUUUCUUUUACGAAUCCUCUCUCUGUUUCUCUUUGAAACCCUAAUGCAUCCAUAGUUUCUCUAAUGGUCUCACCCAUAAAUCUGAACUCAUCUUUAAUUUCAAACCCUAAAUACGCUAUAUAUUGAAGAUCAACUAUGAAAACCCUCUUUUAUUCAAGGCUAUUGAUGAAGAAAACCUUGUAACUUCAAAGUAUUGAUGUUUCAAAGUUCUCGACUCAACGAUCAACCAAAACCCAGGGUCGAGCUCCAGGGCCAACCAACCAACCGGUCACUGUGAGCCAACAGAAGUCCAGAUCCAGCCCCAGUGAUGUCUGUGUGGAACAACGAAGGUUUUGGGAGAGUCAGCCCUUGUGUCUCACGCACGAGACCCGUCUUUGCCCUUUUGUGAUGUAUUUAUAUUCUGUCAUGUUGGCGAAGACUUUGCA